RNAcentral lists this ribosomal RNA (509 nucleotides) under uncultured bacterium. RNAcentral describes it as "bacterial SSU rRNA". It matches the Rfam family "Bacterial small subunit ribosomal RNA", at positions 15 to 518 of the family's 1533-position model. The record is from RNAcentral.
GAUCCUGGCUUAGGAUGAACGCUGGCGGCGUGCCUAAUACAUGCAAGUCGAACGCUAAUCCUCGGAUUAGAGUGGCGAACGGGUGAGUAACACGUAGGUAACCUGCCCAUAAGACGAGGAUAACUACUGGAAACGGUAGCUAAUACUGGAUAGUAUAUAGAAUCGCAUGAUUUUAUAUUUAAAGGUGCUGCAAGGCACUACUUAUGGAUGGACCUGCGGCGCAUUAGCUAGUUGGUGAGGUAACGGCCCACCAAGGCGACGAUGCGUAGCCGGACUGAGAGGUUGAACGGCCACAUUGGGACUGAGACACGGCCCAGACUCCUACGGGAGGCAGCAGUAGGGAAUUUUCGGCAAUGGACGCAAGUCUGACCGAGCAACGCCGCGUGAAGUGAUGAAGUUCUUCGGAACGUAAAAUUCUUUUAUUUGGAAAAAACGUAUAGUGUAGGAAAUGACAUUAUAGUGAUGGUACCAAAUGAAUAAGCCCCGGCUAACUAUGUGCCAGCCGCCGC